UACGUAGGGGGCAAGCGUUGUCCGGAUUUAUUGGGCGUAAAGAGCUCGUAGGCGGUUCGUCGCGUCGGCUGUGAAAACCCGGAGCUCAACUCCGGGCCUGCAGUCGAUACGGGCGGACUUGAGUUCGGCAGGGGAGACUGGAAUUCCUGGUGUAGCGGUGAAAUGCGCAGAUAUCAGGAGGAACACCGGUGGCGAAGGCGGGUCUCUGGGCCGAUACUGACGCUGAGGAGCGAAAGCGUGGGGAGCGAACAGG
Molecule: ribosomal RNA, 253 nt
Filed under: uncultured bacterium
Lineage: Bacteria
Description: partial 16S ribosomal RNA
Rfam family: Bacterial small subunit ribosomal RNA
Source: RNAcentral